Molecule: ribosomal RNA, 253 nt
Filed under: uncultured bacterium
Lineage: Bacteria
Description: partial 16S ribosomal RNA
Rfam family: Bacterial small subunit ribosomal RNA
Source: RNAcentral
UACGUAGGGUGCAAGCGUUAAUCGGAAUUACUGGGCGUAAAGGGCGCGUAGGCGGCGCAACAAGUCACUUGUGAAAUCUUCAGGCUUAACCUGAAGCGGCCAAGUGAUACUGUCGUGCUAGAGUGCGGAAGGGGCAACUGGAAUUCUUGGUGUAGCGGUGAAAUGCGUAGAUAUCAAGAGGAACACCUGCGGCGAAGGCGGGUUGCUGGGCCGACACUGACGCUGAGGCGCGAAAGCUAGGGGAGCGAACGGG